RNAcentral lists this ribosomal RNA (424 nucleotides) under uncultured prokaryote. Its description in RNAcentral is "bacterial SSU rRNA". It matches the Rfam family "Bacterial small subunit ribosomal RNA", at positions 355 to 796 of the family's 1533-position model. The record is from RNAcentral.
UGGGGAAUAUUGGACAAUGGGCGAAAGCCUGAUCCAGCAAUGCCGCGUGAGUGAUGAAGGCCUUAGGGUUGUAAAGCUCUUUUACCCGGGAUGAUAAUGACAGUACCGGGAGAAUAAGCUCCGGCUAACUCCGUGCCAGCAGCCGCGGUAAUACGGAGGGAGCUAGCGUUGUUCGGAAAUACUGGGCGUAAAGCGCACGUAGGCGGCUCAGCAAGUCAGGGGUGAAAUCCCGGGGCUCAACCCCGGAACUGCCCUUGAAACUGCUAGGCUAGAAUCCUGGAGAGGCGAGUGGAAUUCCGAGUGUAGAGGUGAAAUUCGUAGAUAUUCGGAAGAACACCAGUGGCGAAGGCGACUCGCUGGACAGGUAUUGACGCUGAGGUGCGAAAGCGUGGGGAGCAAACAGGAUUAGAUACCCCCGUAGUCC